This 67-nucleotide transfer RNA is filed under the name Urocitellus parryii (Arctic ground squirrel). Its description in RNAcentral is "Spermophilus parryii (Arctic ground squirrel) tRNA". It matches the Rfam family "tRNA". Rfam says of the family: Transfer RNA (tRNA) molecules are approximately 80 nucleotides in length. Their secondary structure includes four short double-helical elements and three loops (D, anti-codon, and T loops). Lineage: Eukaryota; Metazoa; Chordata; Mammalia; Rodentia; Sciuridae. RNAcentral also lists the same sequence under 2 other names. The record is from Rfam by way of RNAcentral.
GGGAAUGUGGCUCAGUGGUAGAGCACUUACCUAACAUGUAAGUGCAUAGGUUUGAUACCCAAUCACA